GGGAAAUGCUAGUGGCAGGAAUGAAAAUCACCAAACCAGCAUGGCAUGCAGCAGCGGGAAGUGCCUAAAUAUAUCACAUUCUGAAGCAUACAAAUGUGGAUGUUCUUCAUCUUAUUUGGUGCCAGUCUUGUUGUUUUUCAGAGUCAUGGUUGUAGCUGUAAAUAUACCAAAGAUGGAUGUUUCUUGACAGCACCCGCUGCAAAUAAGACAGCCUGUGGCUGUCUGAAGCUGAGCCAUUCCACGUGUGCAGGGAUACCAGUACCUUGUCUGCAACCGGAUUCUCCACUUUGCAUUCAUCCAGAUAAAUCUCUGGGAAGUUGUCUUCAAGGUGGUGGGAAUUGUGAUGGUUAUCAUGUGCAGUGCAAAUGUAAAUCUUAUUUCAUUGGUUGCAAAUUAUCAGUUUCUCCGCCAUCAAACACCGCCUGCUCUUGCUCAUUUUACCUGUUUGCGUGUGGCGGUGACAUUGUACUUUGUAAAGAUCCAAAUUCUGUCUACUGUAAAAAACCACGACUAAACAAAGCCACCUGUAAACAGGGCAGAGGAAACUGUAAAGCGUAUUCUGAUUAAUAGCCUACACUGUGCGCCCGCUUACCCAAGUCCAUCUUAAAGUGCCAUCAUCUGAGCAUGUAUUGUCCAUCCCUUAUUCCCCCCGUCUUGAUUGGAAUUAGAAAAUAUGCUACUUGGUUGCUCAUUUUGUGCUAUUGAUUUUGAAUGUUUUACCCAAUCAAUGAAGGGUUCAAAGCUAUGUACACCAUUGCAAUUUUUUUAUUGUUUAUCUGCUUCCUAUGUGCAAAAUCAGGC
Bufo gargarizans (Asiatic toad) is the source of this 801-nucleotide long non-coding RNA. RefSeq lists it as uncharacterized. The transcript is spliced from 3 exons. Lineage: Eukaryota; Metazoa; Chordata; Amphibia; Anura; Bufonidae. The record is from RefSeq and is a predicted model, not a curated record.